Molecule: long non-coding RNA, 333 nt
Filed under: Sorghum bicolor (sorghum)
Lineage: Eukaryota; Viridiplantae; Streptophyta; Magnoliopsida; Poales; Poaceae
Description: long non-coding RNA (SBIC_LNC002844)
Source: RNAcentral
AUGUAGAUGAUUGCUUUAACGGUGCUGAGGAACGGUCUCCCAAGGAUGAUGGGUGGAUCGUACUCGUCUUCUCCUAUGUCAAUAACCUGAAAGUCUAUAUGGACAAAAUGAUCGUCUAUUUUGAUAUGGACAUCUGUUACUAUACCUUCAACCUUUCGGAAUGUCUAAUCUGCCAUCUAGAGCUGAAUGUAUGUCGGUUUUAGGGGCAUGGUUCCGAACAAGAGCCGAUAGGUGACUGCGGCCAUUAUGUUGACGCCUGAUCCGGUGUCGCAAAGUGUCUUGUAGAAGUUGUAUCCAUUAAUGGAGCAAUAGAUGCUUGGCAUACCUGGGUCG